AUUAGAGGGAGGCCGAACCGAGGAACAAGGUUCUGCAAUAGUUUUUUCUGUGACUACCAAAGCAAUCUCGGACCUAGUGGGGAAGGCUUCGACCCAUCUAGAAAACGCUGUUGAGUUUCUGAAAAUUUAUCAAGAGCUAUAUUUAAAAUAUGUGCACUUUUACAGGCGGUACUGGGGGUGAAUGCUGGAAACACUGACGAGGAAGAGGGGGUGAGAGAAGAAAGGGCCUACAGUUGAUCUAAAAUCACCCCAGAAGGAAAACGUCCACUACUGAUUCAUUGCAAGGUCUUUAGUGGGGCAGAACUAGGUGGAUGACUAUCUAUUCAGCAAAGGGGAGGCAGCCAUGGUGGCCAGGUCAGUAUCUGAAGCUACUGGAAUAAGGAUGAUAUCUAGACAGAAGAUAACAUUCUCCACCUA
Long non-coding RNA from Callithrix jacchus (white-tufted-ear marmoset), 417 nucleotides. RefSeq lists it as uncharacterized. NCBI's taxonomy places the organism in Eukaryota, Metazoa, Chordata, Mammalia, Primates, Cebidae. The record is from RefSeq and is a predicted model, not a curated record.